GACGUAGGGCGCGAGCGUUGUCCGGAUUUAUUGGGCGUAAAGAGCGUGUAGGCGGCCAGGCAGGUCCGCUGUGAAAACUCGAGGCUCAACCUCGAGAGGUCGGUGGAAACCGUCUGGCUAGAGUCCGGAAGAGGAGAGUGGAAUUCCCGGUGUAGCGGUGAAAUGCGCAGAUAUCGGGAAGAACACCCGUGGCGAAGGCGGCUCUCUGGGACGGUACUGACGCUGAGACGCGAAAGCGUGGGGAGCGAACAGG
This 253-nucleotide ribosomal RNA is filed under the name uncultured bacterium. Its description in RNAcentral is "partial 16S ribosomal RNA". It matches the Rfam family "Bacterial small subunit ribosomal RNA", at positions 524 to 776 of the family's 1533-position model. The record is from RNAcentral.